Long non-coding RNA from Pyrus x bretschneideri (Chinese white pear), 1125 nucleotides. RefSeq lists it as uncharacterized. NCBI's taxonomy places the organism in Eukaryota, Viridiplantae, Streptophyta, Magnoliopsida, Rosales, Rosaceae. The record is from RefSeq and is a predicted model, not a curated record. The transcript has 5 exons.
AACAUCCAUCUUCUUCCACCUCAUCUUUUUCUUCUGUUGCUGCUUCGACCAGUAGGGAUACUUCAGGCGGUGCUGCUGCUGCUUCCGGCGAAACAUCACCACAGAACCACCACCAUUCACUCUGUUCUACUCAGGACACACAGUCAGUUCUAAAAUGUCCGGUCUUGCUGUGACGGGUUAUUGAGUUCUUGCAUCGGGUCGUUCAAACGAGGCAUUCAGGAAGCGCUGGUCAUCAAAUUUUGCAGCUGUUGUGUGCAGCGUUGGUAGCCCUUUUGUGCUGAGGGAAACGGUGCUUUUUGUUUUCUGAAACCGCUUGCAGAGCGCACACUUGAGGAUCUCAGACCGAAGGUAAAAGAUUGUAUUUGUUUUGGGAUCUAUAAAAGGAUAUUACAGGGAACAUAUCUUGGCUGUUGAUACCAUACUUGGAUUCUAAACUCUCCAAAGCUGCCUUCAUCUGGGUUAUUUUCUCAACAUUCUCUUUUUCGUUUGCGGUUGGUUUCGUAUACCAUUGCAAGUGUUAAAUUUGUGAUUUGUUGUUUAUGUGGUGAAAAAAUAGGUUGCUAGAACGAUUCAGAUUAUUUAUUUGUUACACAAAAAAAAACUUUUAGAACUCCCGGUAGAAAGAGAUUUCGCUAACGAAAAAGUCUUUUAUUUUUUUGUGAGACUUAAGAGGUUACCUUCUCCAAACGCAUAAAUGGACUUUUGAAUAAGGCUUUUGACCUCUCUAUCCUCUACGAUGCUGAAGUUGCCCUCAUGAUCAUCUUCUCUCCCUCUGGCAUGGCCUGCCAAUUUGCAAGCCACGAAAUUAGUCUCCAGUUGUGUCAUGGGUUGUGUCAUCCCACAAACAAUUGUGCCAUGAGUGGGAUGCUGGAUGAUUGUUAAAACAUGAGACUUAUCAAAAUGUAAAUAGGAAAUAACACCUAUGUAAGUAUACUCUGGUUUUGGCCCUGCAUUCUUAGUUGUGUGAGAUAUACAUGGUUGAUAUCAACUAAUUAUGCAUAUUGCAAUUAUAUUCCCUUAAUUAAUGGGGCUAACCUUUAUGAAUUGAGUAUAGGAUUUAGAUGUAUAGUGUUUCGAUGGGAACAUGAAGACUGCAUUUGGGAGUGUGCAUUAAAUGUAUUUGAU